CCUGGGGGAGGCAGCAGUGGGGAAUAUUGCACAAUGGGGGAAACCCUGAUGCAGCGACGCCGCGUGAGUGAAGAAGUAAUUCGUUACGUAAAGCUCUAUCAGCAGGGAAGAAACACUGACCUUACGGUCAGCAGACGGUACCUGAGGAAGAAGCCACGGCUAACUACGUGCAAGCAGCCGCGGGAAUACGUAGGGGGCAAGCGUUAUCCGGAUUUACUGGGUGGAAAGGGAGCGUAGACGGUGCGCCAAGUCUGGAGUGAAAUGCCGCAGCCUAACAGGGGAAGUGCGUUGGAAACUGGCGACAUGGAGUGCGGGAGGGGUAAGCGGAAUUCCUAGGGUAGCGGUGAAAUGCGUAGAUAUUAGGAGGAACACCGGUGGCGCGGGCGGCUUACUGGACCGUAACUGACGUUGAGGCUCGAAAGCGUGGGGAGCAAACAGGAUUAGAUACCCUAGUAGUC
RNAcentral lists this ribosomal RNA (458 nucleotides) under uncultured bacterium. RNAcentral's name for it is "partial 16S ribosomal RNA". It matches the Rfam family "Bacterial small subunit ribosomal RNA", at positions 338 to 795 of the family's 1533-position model. The record is from RNAcentral.